GUUCUUGUAGUGGUGGUGGAAAUUUACAUUGACUUUUUCCAUACUUGGUGAGUUGAACCUCAGAUCUCCUGUGAUCCACCAGAACAACUGUCAGCUUCAAUAGACAAUGACAGGAUCUGCAGUUGGGGGCAAAGAUGUCUGACUCCAGAAACUUCUUGAGGCUUGCUGUAGGCCCCUGAAUGCUCUUCCCUUAUUUACCCAGAGAUCCCAACAAGAAGGAUGAAAUAUGCACAUCUUCCUAUAGGAAGCCUACAUGCUUUCACUCCAGGAAAGACAGGAAAACAACUGAGUUGAAGCUAUUUUGGAAAUCAUGUAUCUGUGAG
RNAcentral lists this long non-coding RNA (323 nucleotides) under Cyanistes caeruleus (blue tit). Its description in RNAcentral is "lncRNA (ENSCCEG00000001446.1)". The record is from RNAcentral. Lineage: Eukaryota; Metazoa; Chordata; Aves; Passeriformes; Paridae.